GAUGAACGCUGGCGGCGUGCCUAAUACAUGCAAGUCGAGCGAACGGACGAGAAGCUUGCUUCUCUGAUGUUAGCGGCGGACGGGUGAGUAACACGUGGAUAACCUACCUAUAAGACUGGGAUAACUUCGGGAAACCGGAGCUAAUACCGGAUAAUAUUUUGAACCGCAUGGUUCAAAAGUGAAAGACGGUCUUGCUGUCACUUAUAGAUGGAUCCGCGCUGCAUUAGCUAGUUGGUAAGGUAACGGCUUACCAAGGCAACGAUGCAUAGCCGACCUGAGAGGGUGAUCGGCCACACUGGAACUGAGACACGGUCCAGACUCCUACGGGAGGCAGCAGUAGGGAAUCUUCCGCAAUGGGCGAAAGCCUGACGGAGCCACGCCGCGUGAGUGAUGAAAGUCUUCGGAUCGUAAAACUCUGUUAUUAGGGAAAAACAUAUGUGUAAGUAACUGUGCACCUCUUGACGGGACCUAAUCCGAAAACCACGGCUAACUACGUGCCAGCAACCGCGGUAAUACGUAAGUGGCGAGCGUUAUCCGGGAUUAUUGGGCGUAAAGCGCGCGUAAGCCGUUUUUUUAAUCUGAUGUGAAAGCCCACGGCUCCACCCUGGAGGGUCAUUGGAAACUGGAAAACUUGAGUGCAGAAGAGGAAAGUGGAAUUCCAUGUGUAGCGGUGAAAUGCGCAGAGAUAUGGAGGAACACCAGUGGCGAAGGCGACUUUCUGGUCUGUAACUGACGCUGAUGUGCGAAAGCGUGGGGAUCAAACAGGAUUAGAUACCCUGGUAGUCCACGCCGUAAACGAUGAGUGCUAAGUGUUAGGGGGUUUCCGCCCCUUAGUGCUGCAGCUAACGCAUUAAGCACUCCGCCUGGGGAGUACGACCGCAAGGUUGAAACUCAAAGGAAUUGACGGGGACCCGCACAAGCGGUGGAGCAUGUGGUUUAAUUCGAAGCAACGCGAAGAACCUUACCAAAUCUUGACAUCCUUUGACAACUCUAGAGAUAGAGCCUUCCCCUUCGGGGGACAAAGUGACAGGUGGUGCAUGGUUGUCGUCAGCUCGUGUCGUGAGAUGUUGGGUUAAGUCCCGCAACGAGCGCAACCCUUAAGCUUAGUUGCCAUCAUUAAGUUGGGCACUCUAAGUUGACUGCCGGUGACAAACCGGAGGAAGGUGGGGAUGACGUCAAAUCAUCAUGCCCCUUAUGAUUUGGGCUACACACGUGCUACAAUGGACAAUACAAAGGGCAGCGAAACCGCGAGGUCAAGCAAAUCCCAUAAAGUUGUUCUCAGUUCGGAUUGUAGUCUGCAACUCGACUACAUGAAGCUGGAAUCGCUAGUAAUCGUAGAUCAGCAUGCUACGGUGAAUACGUUCCCGGGUCU
RNAcentral lists this ribosomal RNA (1372 nucleotides) under uncultured bacterium. RNAcentral's name for it is "bacterial SSU rRNA". It matches the Rfam family "Bacterial small subunit ribosomal RNA", at positions 28 to 1381 of the family's 1533-position model. The record is from RNAcentral.